ACGCUGGCGGCGUGCUUAACACAUGCAAGUCGAACGAAGCUGUUGUUCGGAGACCUUCGGGUGGAAGAAUGACAGACUGAGUGGCGGACGGGUGAGUAACGCGUGGGUAACCUACCUUGCACAGGGGGACAACAGUUGGAAACGACUGCUAAUACCGCAUAAGACCACAGUACCGCAUGGUACAGGGGUAAAAACUGAGGUGGUGCAAGAUGGACCCGCGUCUGAUUAGCUAGUUGGUGGGGUAAAGGCCUACCAAGGCGACGAUCAGUAGCCGACCUGAGAGGGUGAUCGGCCACAUUGGGACUGAGACACGGCCCAAACUCCUACGGGAGGCAGCAGUGGGGAAUAUUGGACAAUGGGGGAACCCUGAUCCAGCGACGCCGCGUGAGUGAAGAAGUAUUUCGGUAUGUAAAGCUCUAUCAGCAGGGAAGAAAAUGACGGUACCUGACUAAGAAGCCCCGGCUAACUACGUGCCAGCAGCCGCGGUAAUACGUAGGGGGCAAGCGUUAUCCGGAUUUACUGGGUGUAAAGGGAGCGCAGACGGCUUGGCAAGUCUGAAGUGAAAGCCCGGGGCUUAACCCCGGGACUGCUUUGGAAACUGUGAAGCUAGAGUGUCGGAGAGGUAAGUGGAAUUCCCAGUGUAGCGGUGAAAUGCGUAGAUAUUGGGAGGAACACCGGUGGCGAAGGCGGCUUACUGGACGAUAACUGACGUUGAGGCUCGAAGGCGUGGGGAGCAAACAGGAUUAGAUACCCUGGUAGUCCACGCGGUAAACGAUGAAUACUAGGUGUCGGGGGACAUAGUCUUUCGGUGCCGCCGCUAACGCAUUAAGUAUUCCACCUGGGGAGUACGUUCGCAAGAAUGGAACUCAAAGGAAUUGACGGGGACCCGCACAAGCGGUGGAGC
This 904-nucleotide ribosomal RNA is filed under the name uncultured bacterium. RNAcentral's name for it is "bacterial SSU rRNA". It matches the Rfam family "Bacterial small subunit ribosomal RNA", at positions 33 to 938 of the family's 1533-position model. The record is from RNAcentral.